This 117-nucleotide ribosomal RNA is filed under the name Galactobacter valiniphilus. The record is from RNAcentral. RNAcentral also lists the same sequence under 1 other name. Lineage: Bacteria; Bacillati; Actinomycetota; Actinomycetes; Micrococcales; Micrococcaceae.
UACGGCGGUCAUAGCGUAGGGGAAACGCCCGGUCCCAUCCCGAACCCGGAAGCUAAGCCCUACAGCGCCGAUGGUACUGCAACCGGGAGGUUGUGGGAGAGUAGGACGCCGCCGGAC